GAGUGAACGAACCGCUGGUGUUCGGGUUGUGAUGCCAAUCGCAUUGCCCGGUAGCUAUGUUCGGACGGGAUAACCGCUGAAAGCAUCUAAGCGGGAAGCCUCCUUCAAGAUAAGAUCUCCCUCACCCUUUGAGGGUGCUAAAGGGCCGUGGAAGACCACCACGUUGAUAGGCUGGGUGUGGAAGCGUUGUGAGGCGUUGAGCUAACCAGUACUAAUGGCCCGUGAGGCUUGACCAUAUAACU
Molecule: ribosomal RNA, 242 nt
Filed under: Exilibacterium tricleocarpae
Lineage: Bacteria; Pseudomonadati; Pseudomonadota; Gammaproteobacteria; Cellvibrionales; Cellvibrionaceae
Description: Cellvibrionaceae bacterium R142 partial 23S ribosomal RNA
Rfam family: Bacterial large subunit ribosomal RNA
Source: RNAcentral